GGAGAUGUGGCUGAGAGGUUGAAAGCGCUCCUCUGCUAAAGGAGUAUUCUACUGAAUCGAGGGUUCGAAUCCCUCCCUCUCCA
RNAcentral lists this transfer RNA (83 nucleotides) under Candidatus Tremblaya phenacola PAVE. Its description in RNAcentral is "tRNA-Ser (GCT) (tRNA-Ser-GCT-1-1)". It matches the Rfam family "tRNA". Rfam says of the family: Transfer RNA (tRNA) molecules are approximately 80 nucleotides in length. Their secondary structure includes four short double-helical elements and three loops (D, anti-codon, and T loops). Lineage: Bacteria; Pseudomonadati; Pseudomonadota; Betaproteobacteria. The record is from RNAcentral.